GAAACUUACAUUGAAAUUUCCAUUUAAUUCCUAGAGUCCACAUUAGCCCUUGCAAUAUUUCUGACAUAAAGUGAUUUCUUUGAUCAGAGUCAAUAUUUUCAACAAUUCCAUGCCUGGGAGUUAUUUGUUCUAGAAUUACUUCAGUUACAAUGUUCGCAGUAGCAGAUACUGAAGGGAAAGCUUCCACCCACCCUGACAAAUGAACUACCAAGACUAAUAAGUAUUUAAAUCUACCUACUCUAAGGAGUUCUGUAAAAUCUACCUGUACAUUUUGGAAGCAUUGAAUUCCUGGUUCUUGCCCCCUUUGGGCUGAGUGCAGAUAAUUUUCCUGUUUACCUUUUGACAUACUACACAACUCCUGUGCACUUGUUCAGCCAGGGUAUAUAUAUUCCUAC
Oxyura jamaicensis (ruddy duck) is the source of this 395-nucleotide long non-coding RNA. RefSeq lists it as uncharacterized. The transcript is spliced from 3 exons. The record is from RefSeq and is a predicted model, not a curated record. NCBI's taxonomy places the organism in Eukaryota, Metazoa, Chordata, Aves, Anseriformes, Anatidae.